Molecule: ribosomal RNA, 322 nt
Filed under: uncultured bacterium
Lineage: Bacteria
Description: bacterial SSU rRNA
Rfam family: Bacterial small subunit ribosomal RNA
Source: RNAcentral
ACGAACGCUGGCGGCGUGCUUAACACAUGCAAGUCGAGCGAUGAAGCACCUUCGGGUGUGGAUUAGCGGCGAACGGGUGAGGAACACGUGAAGAAUCUGCCUUCAACUCUGGGAUAACUCCGGGAAACCGGGGCUAAUACCGGAUAUGAGCCUUGGCCGCAUGGCCGGGGCUGGAAAGUUUUUCGGUGGAAGAUGACCUCGCGGCCUAUCAGCUUGUUGGUGAGGUAAAGGCUCACCAAGGCGACGACGGGUAGCCGGCCUGAGAGGGCGACCGGCCACACUGGGACUGAGACACGGACCAGACUCCUACGGGAGGCAGCAG